AAAGAAAAGAUACAAAUUUCCUUUUUUUUUUUUUUUUAUAAAUUCGAAUAGGCAAAAGAAACUAAUAAAAGCUGUAGUAGUAAUAGAAUUGGAAAGACUUGGAGAAGGUGAUCGACCGGGAAGGAAAUAAUUUGAAAACUCUUCGCAAAUAUGGAAACCGAAUAAACCUGUCGAUCAAACAAUUGGAAACCAAAUUAUGCAAUCCUAGCAACACGUUUUAUAUUUUUUUUUUUGACUUUAUGAAGAUUAAAACUAAGCAGAACAGGAUGUAACAAUCGGAUGCAAGCAAGAU
Molecule: long non-coding RNA, 292 nt
Filed under: Brassica napus (rape)
Lineage: Eukaryota; Viridiplantae; Streptophyta; Magnoliopsida; Brassicales; Brassicaceae
Description: long non-coding RNA (BNAP_LNC000901)
Source: RNAcentral